RNAcentral lists this transfer RNA (65 nucleotides) under Crassadoma gigantea. RNAcentral's name for it is "tRNA-Met". The record is from RNAcentral. Lineage: Eukaryota; Metazoa; Mollusca; Bivalvia; Pectinida; Pectinidae.
AGCAGAGUAGUAUAAGAAGUACAGCGGGCUCAUACCCUGAGAGUGGGACUAAAACCCUUCUGCUU